AGUGAAUGUUCCAUGCCAGAAAGUGAACCACUUCAAGAAUUUGUAGACCAAUAUUCCAUUAGCUCUGCCUUACAACAGUCUGAUAUGGUCCUUGAAUCAACGCCCACUGGAACUUGUCAGGAACCUCUAUCAGAAGACAUCAAAGAUGCCACAGAAGAUCCUAUACUGCAGAAAGAAAGAAAAGGAAGACGAGCCAGAA
Long non-coding RNA from Octopus sinensis (East Asian common octopus), 199 nucleotides. RefSeq lists it as uncharacterized. Lineage: Eukaryota; Metazoa; Mollusca; Cephalopoda; Octopoda; Octopodidae. The record is from RefSeq and is a predicted model, not a curated record. The transcript is spliced from 3 exons.